AUUGAAUAAGAAUUGUCUGUCAUCUCUAUUUGGUCUAGAUCAACUAAAUGGUUAGAUAAGAUUGAAAGAAAAAGAUUCCAGAGUGCAGUGCUUUUGCUAUGGCUCUGGCGCCGAAAGUGUUUGAGUCCUUCUGGUAGGAUAGCGUAAUAAAAGUGUAAGCGUCUCAAAAAACCCCUAUCAAACUCUCGUAGAAAGAGAGACUGAUUAAAAAGUCAGUCUCUCUUCCUUCCCGCCUUCCCUCUUCUGCUCUUCCUGUCCUAAAUAACGUCAGUCUCAUAUAGCUCGAAUUUGAAUCAAAUUAAACAAAGCAGAUCAAUCAAAGAAGUUGAAAAGCCAGGUCUGAUCGAUGAUGUCACGAAAUACCUUUUCACUCUUGU
RNAcentral lists this unclassified non-coding RNA (377 nucleotides) under Hevea brasiliensis (rubber tree). Lineage: Eukaryota; Viridiplantae; Streptophyta; Magnoliopsida; Malpighiales; Euphorbiaceae. The record is from RNAcentral.